Molecule: unclassified non-coding RNA, 251 nt
Filed under: uncultured Tubeufiales
Lineage: Eukaryota; Fungi; Ascomycota; Dothideomycetes
Description: sequence contains 5.8S rRNA gene, ITS2, 28S rRNA gene
Rfam family: 5.8S ribosomal RNA (bases 1-52)
Source: RNAcentral
AACGCACAUUGCGCCCCUUGGUAUUCCGAGGGGCAUGCCUGUUCGAGCGUCAUUACAAACCCUCAAGCUUCGGCUUGGUAUUGGAUCUUCGUCCGUUACUGGACGUGUCCGAAACUCGUAGGCGGUGAUAUUCAUGUCCUAAGCGUAGUCAAUUUUUCUCGCUUUCUGGAGGUGGAUGUCACUCGCCUGACAACCUCAUAUUUUUUCUAUGGGUUGACCUCGGAUCAGGUAGGGAUACCCGCUGAACUUAA